UGGGGGAUAUUGCACAAUGGGCGAAAGCCUGAUGCAGCGACGCCGCGUGGGGGAUGAAGGCCUUCGGGUUGUAAACUUCUUUUGCUCUGAACAAGGCAUGCCUUUGGGGUGUGUUGAGUGUAGGGGUUGAUUAGCGCCGGCUAACUACGUGCCGGCAGCCGCGGUAAUACGUAGGGCGCGAGCGUUGUCCGGAAUUAUUGGGCGUAAAGGGCUUGUAGGUGGCUGGUUGCGUCUGUCGUGAAAGCUCAUGGCUUAACUGUGGGUUUGCGGUGGGUACGGGCUGGCUUGAGUGCAGUAGGGGAGGCUGGAAUUCCUGGUGUAGCGGUGGAAUGCGCAGAUAUCAGGAGGAAUACCGGUGGCGAAGGCGGGUCUCUGGGCUGUUACUGACGCUGAGGAGCGAAAGCGUGGGGAGCGAACAGG
This 420-nucleotide ribosomal RNA is filed under the name Fusobacteriota bacterium. Its description in RNAcentral is "Fusobacteria bacterium partial 16S ribosomal RNA". It matches the Rfam family "Bacterial small subunit ribosomal RNA", at positions 355 to 776 of the family's 1533-position model. Lineage: Bacteria; Fusobacteriati; Fusobacteriota. The record is from RNAcentral.